Long non-coding RNA from Elgaria multicarinata webbii, 1288 nucleotides. RefSeq lists it as uncharacterized. Lineage: Eukaryota; Metazoa; Chordata; Lepidosauria; Squamata; Anguidae. The transcript has 4 exons. The record is from RefSeq and is a predicted model, not a curated record.
GCUAUGGUACAUAUUUGUUCCUGAAUCCUUUUCUCAAAGGCACUAUUUAAAUAUGUUGAUGCAUCCAGCAUGGCUAAUAUUAAAAAAAAAGACCCCACAGAUAAAUGUAAUUUAUCAAUAGCAAGAAGCAGACCAUGGUGUUCAAGUAUAGCACUGCCCUGGAAAAACACAAGCUCUUCAUUUCUGGCUUGCCGUUUUCCUGUACGAAGGAGGAGCUGGAGGAAGUCCAUGGGAACGUGAAGGAUAUCUAGCUGGUCACGAACCGAGCUGGGAAACCCAUGCCAUCCCUGGACAUGAAUCGCAUGAAGAAAUAUUAGCGUGGACCAAACAGAUGGUUGUUUCUGCUUGCAUCCAUACACAGUUCAACUAAUGUCUCACCACACAAACAUGCAUCCAAGAAAGUUUGAUGUGGUACACGAAUGCAAGUGACAAGUGGAGGUAGGCGAAGCAAACGUUCCAUACUGCUGGAGCGAUUAGAAGAGUGGAGAUCGUUGGUUCAUCCUUCCUUCUGGAAUCUGGGAUGAGCAAGAGAUAAUAUUGGCAACAGUUGCUGCAGAGGCAGAGAUCAUUCGUGGACUUUUCCACUAAGGAAUGUUAUUCAAUCAUUUACAUGAUUUUUAUGUUUCUAUUUUGUUGUAAUUGUAUUGAACCACUAGAGGGACCUAAAGUCCGUCUAAACCCGUUUUGUGACUUGGAUGCUGGUGGUGUUGUCAAAACCCUUAUAUAAAAGUAACUGGGUUUUUCUUACAGCUUACCGCUAAGGUCUGAGCUGUCGCAGCAGAGAUGAAUGUUGAGGUGUAACAUAAAAUAAGUAAUGCAUGGAGAAAAAAGCAAUAACUGGGUAACAGGACUUAGGAUAAUUGAGAUGCUAAGAGAUCAUGAAGUUAUUCCCAGAUAUUGGCUGAUGUAAGCCUAAAAAAAUAAUUCUGUUGAUGGAGUCGUUCACAUAAGAUUUGACUUUGAGCACUAAAUACCUUGUUGUCCCCUGCUUGAGCAUGUCCUAUUUUGAGUGUUGCUUGCUGAGUGAAAGGAAGGUAAAUGCAGGUUAAUGGGUUAUUGACUGAAAAUAAAAGCUUAUUCUUGUGAACACUUCCCCGCCAGACAAACAGCAUAAAGACUUUAAAAUGAAUAGAAACACAGGUUGGAUCCAGAUUUAGUUAUACGUAACACAGACCCAUUGAAAUAAAUGAGAUGGUUAGCUGAAUUUAACUUAAGCUCUAUUCAUUUCAGUUGGCCUACCUUAAGUAGUCUGGAUCCAACCCUACAUUUUCAGUAAUAUUUGCGUUUU